CGAUGCAACGCGAAAACCUUACUACCCUUGACAUGUCCGGAAUCCCGAAGAGAUUUGGGAGUGCUCGCAAGAGAGCCGGAACACAGGUGCUGCAUGGCUGUCGUCAGCUCGUGUCGUGAGAUGUUGGGUUAAGUCCCGCAACGAGCGCAACCCUUGUCAUUAGUUGCCAUCAUUUGGUUGGGCACUCUAAUGAGACUGCCGGUGACAAACCGGAGGAAGGUGGGGAUGACGUCAAGUCCUCAUGGCCCUUAUGGGUAGGGCUUCACACGUCAUACAAUGGUCGGUACAGAGGGUUGCCAACCCGCGAGGGGGAGCUAAUCCCACAAAGCCGAUCGUAGUCCGGAUCGCAGUCUGCAACUCGACUGCGUGAAGUCGGAAUCGCUAGUAAUCGUGGAUCAGCAUGUCACGGUGAAUACGUUCCCGGGUCUU
This 429-nucleotide ribosomal RNA is filed under the name uncultured Rhodocyclaceae bacterium. RNAcentral describes it as "bacterial SSU rRNA". It matches the Rfam family "Bacterial small subunit ribosomal RNA", at positions 952 to 1382 of the family's 1533-position model. Lineage: Bacteria; Pseudomonadati; Pseudomonadota; Betaproteobacteria; Rhodocyclales; Rhodocyclaceae. The record is from RNAcentral.